Molecule: non-coding RNA, 6186 nt
Organism: Oncorhynchus mykiss (rainbow trout)
Lineage: Eukaryota; Metazoa; Chordata; Actinopteri; Salmoniformes; Salmonidae
Source: RefSeq, a predicted model, not a curated record
GAAAGCAUUGAGGAGUGCUCUCGGCAGUGGCUCCCAGCCAUCGGACCUACAAUUAAUGGGGACAGGGACGGUCACUUUCCAGGACCUUGAGUGGGCCAUGUCGGAGGUCAAACCAGGUGCCAUGAGGCAGGUCGCCAUCGAUGUCCCCAAGCUGUAGAGAGAAAUCGACACUGGGCAAACUGCAUCUACAACUUCCUUGCCCCACGGUAAGGAUGUUAUUUUUGAAUUGAAAAACGUUGAUCAUGGAAAAGGUGUUAGUUUUCUUGAAUCGGUUUCUAAAGAAGCUUUCAUAACACUGCUGGACACCAUGCUCCGUUAAAACUGCCACCCUAUACAGCCAAUUGGGGACCUCUCUUUCCAUUGUGUAUGAAACCUCUGUAUUCUUCUCUGUUUCCAGCUGUGUCCGAAUGUUUUGUCUGUUUCCCUUGCAGGUGCGCUGGUCGGAUGUGGGAGGCAUGGAGCAGGUGAAGCCGAAACUUAAGCAGGCGGUGGAGUGGCCUCUCAGGCACCACGAGGCCUUCACCUGCAUGGGCAUCCAGACCCCAAAAGGAGUACUACUCUAUGGACCCCAGGCUGCUUCAUGAUCACCAAAGUUCUGGCCAACGAGAACGGCCACAACUUCCUUGCCUUUAAGGUGAUGAUCAUUCAAAGUUUGAUUGUUGCCUGUUAUCUCCACCAGGUGGCCAAUGUACAGGCAGGGAAGAGUCCUUUUUAGUCUUUUCUACACCUACAGGGUUCCCUAAAUCCCACCCCUAUAAUGCAUACUUUUGUAAUGGAUCAGUUUUGCAGUUGCAUUGUGUGCAUUGCCUUCAAGCACAGUUUCUUUUGUUAUGGCUGACAUGGCAUGGACCUUUUGACGUUUCCACAACUAGGGAGAUUCUACAACUAUAGAUAGUAAAACUAGUACGGCUUCUUUCCUUUUUCCAAAACAUACUGUACUUAGCUAUGGCCAGUGAUUUACCACCAGCAGCCAUUGUCUUGGCUUCACCCCUGUUAAAAAACAGGGAUGUGCCCCUGAUUAUCUCAAGGACCUCAGAAUCUUUGGCUUCCUUGGAGGCAGACCUACAGGCCUUCUCACUUGACCCCUCCGACCCCAUGUUUGUCCUUUUCAUUCAUCACCCCACCCCGUCGUCUCCCUUCUCUCUCUCCACCCCAAUUCACAACUAUCCCCUACACCCCUCGCCCUGCUCUGUCCAGGCCCCUUGAUGGAGAUUGAUUGAUCACUUCACUGAUUGUUAAUUGCCGAUUCUUUUGGAAGUGGUUGCCGGGUAAGAUGGGGCAGAAACUGUCAGCCAGCCUGAUUUAGAUUGGGUCAGUGGUAAAAGAUAGUGGAUAGGCUGUAAUAUAACGAAGAAAGACUUACCUCUUAAAGAGUGCUUACAGUGUAAAAUUCUCUGAAAGGUUUUUCUCAUAGAUGCUAUUUGUGAAUAACGUCCAACCCAAAUUGUUCGUAAUUAUGUUACACUUGAUGUUUAAGCAAAAUAAAAUAGUAAGAAGUUGGCUAAUACUUUUUCAAUGACAAAAUCAUAUUAUUUUUCCCCAGUGUGUUAGCUUUGCCUCCGACACAUUACCCUUGCUUCACUAUACUUUUAGAUGCAUACUACUUGCGUCGUGUACAGUAAAACUCUAACACUCUAUCAAAAUAUUUUUACACGCCAAUAUGACUGUUACUCUAGCAGGGUAGAAAUGUACCUAUAUAGAAUAUAACCCUCCCAGUGAGUAGCUGGUUAGAGAAAUCAACAGAUUAAUGAGUCAGUCUCCACAACGUUGUCGUGUUCUGAGGAGACAAAAGGUGUCAUCUCCCUGCCAGCCCAGAGGUGUUGAAGAGGGGGGAUUGCAGGGGAGGAAGUGCGUCCUGACGGGCUGAGUGGAUGUUUAUCCGCCUCGGAGGGAGGGAGAGUGCAGAGUGGCCCCAUCAACCUUACUUACCCUACCUCCUUUGUCCUCUCUGCCUUCCUUCUUAAUGAUCAUUUUUCCCUCUCUUCCCCUCUUCCUCUUAAAUAACUAUCCCUUUCAUCUCUGAGAGAUUUCUUGGCGGGUUGUCAAAAAGUUCUCAGUGGUUUGUUCAUUGAGGUGUGUUCCUGUCCGAUAUUAAAUAGUGGUCUAGUUAGCUUGUGGUUAGCUAGGUUAAAUGUAAUUGAGCGUGUAUUACCAGUGUUAUAAUGAUGUGAAUGAAUAGUUAUAGCCUACUGUAUAACUAGGGUCCUCGUACGGAAAUCUCCUGGUCCUAUAAUGAAUCACUGGACAGGAGAACCAACUUCCCUCACGGUCUUUCAGGGUCCAGAGUCACUGAGUAAAUAUGUAAUGGAGUCUGAGAGGGCUGUCAGAGAGGUGAGUACCAGGCCAACUUUCAUUGUCUAUCAUAUACCCAUUACACUAGGAGCAUAAGUACUACUUCUGCUGAGAGGAAAUUGCUUUAAUAUGCUACAUUCUAAUGUAUAUGCAAUUACUGUAUAUUAAUACCUCGCAUAUGUCGAUACCAGGUCAGAGCUGUCACCCCCUCCAUUGUGUUCUUUGAUGAAGUUGUCGCUCUUACUGGAGAUCGAGGAAGGUAAAUAUUUUGUCUCAGAAAUGAAGUUCAAAACUUUUUCUACCUGAUAAACAUAAUACUGCAGACUUGAUGACCACGACACGGCAACUGCUUGCAAGCACACAUCUUAUUCUGAAAACUGGAAGCACGUAUCAAGCCUCAAUGAAUGGGAAAGAUAGGCACCAUUUUUAAUCAUCAGCCUAGUUCAAUACGCUGAAUGGCAUGUAUUAUCCCCAAUUACUUGUUGAAUGACUGAACGUCUAUAUUACCACAAUAAUUACAUUAUCAGUGUAAUUAUUGUACAGUGUAAAGCCGGCUGUGGAGUUCCCAUGGAGUCAGUCCAUGCUUUGCUAUCAACGCACGCACACAUACACUGACACACAGACGAGCCAGUCUGUCCGGAGGCGCUUCAAUGGGAUGACACUGGGAACAUCUGUGGCUUCAGGAAGAAGACACAACGGCCAGAGAGAGGACACAGGCCGCGACAAACAAGCCCUUCAUUGUGUACGCCACAGCAGAUGGGGGAAGCCAAAUAUGAGGCGUACUUCCCGGUAAACCCCCAUGAAAGUCAAUGGUGACAAAAGACCCCUCCAGAUAUGGUACAAACAUGGCGUUCCCUCAAGCUAAUUGGCCAGGGCCUGGGAUGGGUCACAGUGUCCUUUCUUAACAAAACCAUUUUGCCAUUAGUGCAUGUAGGGUGACAUGUUGUAUCUGUUUACUAGGACUGGGAAUUGCCAGGGACCUCACGAUGCGAGAUUAUCACAAUACUAAGGUGCCGAUAUGUAUUGUGUUUCUCACGAUUCUAUAUGUAUUGCGAUUUGAGACAGCGAUUUUAUUCUGAGUUGAUGUUCCAAACAUAUUGCUUACUGUAUGUCUGCUGCAGACAGACGAGACAGCAUGAGAGGCUACAUAUCAGAGUUGGGGGUCAACUUAAGUCAACUCAGGAAUGGACUGGAUGUAGUGUUCGACCUGACAAAAUGACCCACUUCCAGUGGCGAUUUUCUCAUCUGAAUUCCAUGGAUAUCACUGAAUUGACUGGAUUUGAAGAAGUUAUUUGGCCACGACUCUGCAGUUGCCUUUCAAAAGGACUUGAUGCAGGGGAGUCAGUCAGUUCACUGCAGCAGAGCUCAUAUCUCCAGGCCACUGGCCAUUUAAAAAAAAAAUGCACUUAGCAGUGAUCUAUAAAGGUUAUUUAUUGGUCUUAACUUCCCGCAUUUAAUCAAUGAAGUGGCUUCAUUGCUCAUGAGCUGGAAUUUAACUGUUGACACGGCCUGGGCUAGAGAUGGAAGAGUGAUAUUUUGUGUUUUCUUUUCUUGACGUGAAGCACCAGUAAAUCUUCAAGCCUACCUGCCAUAACUGCCCAAAUCUGUUGGAAUGAGUUAUCUGAUAGUGAGAGAGAAAGACAGAGAGCGAGACAGUAGAGAGUCUGAGACGGAGAGACCGACAGAGCGAGAGACAGACAGAUUAAGGGCAUUGGGUCCAGAGAGAAAGCACAAGAGCGAGAGAAUGAAAGAUCGAGAGGGCAAGAGAAAGAAACCAAGCCCUGGAUGAGAGGCAGAAGCAGCCAUGGCAGAUUUCUCCCUUUGUCAUGAGGCAUUUCCCCUAUUCCUCCCAGGACCAUAACUCACUGACAGGCCUCUUUUGUGUUCCUCUGUGGUAAUGACGUGUGGCACUUACGCUGGCUCUGUGAACAGAGACAGUAAGAGUGUGUUUGGUUUUACUGUCCUUGUGGGGUCCAGAAGUCCUUACAAGGACAAUUCUGGCAAGUGGGGACAUUUCACUGGUCCCCACAAGGAAAAGGGCUUAGGGUUAGGGGUUUGGGUUUAGGGUUAGAUUAGGCUUAGGUUAGGGUUAAGUAACAGGAUUUUGAAUGGGAAUCAAUUGUUUGGUCCUCACAAGUAUAAACCAAAUGUGUGUGUCUGACAGCGAUGGGGAGCACCAGAGGGAGGGAGAGACACUGCGCUGUGCUAUGGAAAAGAAACCCCUUACUAUUUCUGAGUGCAGGAUGCUGGGAUCUGACAUCUUGAACAGAUACAUUUUUGGUUAAAACACAUAUCUCUCCACCCCUAUCACCCCCCCACCCCCUUCAUUCUGUACUCUCUCCCCUUCCUCUUGCCCUCUCCUCUUUGCUCUCUCAGUUAGUUGGGGUCUGCUGGUGUUGGGGACCGGGUCCUGGCCCAGCUCCUGACAGAAAGCUCAGAGACGUCGCCGUCCUGGCCACAUCCAACCGGACUGAUAUGAGAGAUAAGAUAGAACGCGCAGAGAGUUCCUGCUCUCCCUUUCUCUCUCUAUCUUUCUGCUUCCCAUCCUUCUCUUCCUUAUCCUCCCUCUAUCUCCAAAAUAAACUUCCUGAGUGCUGAUCAAAGACAGAGCCUGGGCCUGGGCAAAACACACCCAGGAUGAAAUGGCCUGGCGCUUUAAUUUAAGGGUUUUCAUUCUCUGUAUCCUUCCUUUUAAUUUUCCCUCUGUAUUCUUUUCUCAUUUCAUUCUCUCUUUGUAUCCUUCCCUCUUAAUUCUCUGUGUCCUUCCCUCAUCUCCCUCUUUUCUGUCUUUCUCUCUCCCCAUCUAUGUACUAACUCUAUGUGAACAUACUCUGCUUUCUGAAACAUAAUAUUAUGUCUGCUCUUAUCGUAACGUGGAGUGAUUAGGAGGGGGAAAACUGCUGUUAUAGUAGACAUUUUGACUCCUCCAAUAUCUGACAGGUGGCUACAGAGCUCCCAUGGUGGGAAAGACCCUCACACUGCUCCCUUAUGGACAGUUGAACAGCUGGAGGUCCCCUCCAGGGCCACUGUUGGAGAAUUGACACUUCCCUGGCCUUCCUAGCAACUGAAGACCAUUUCCUUCCUUCCUCCUCCCCUGCUACUGCCUGGCCUGCCACUCCAAGCUCUGUUAGCAGUGGGGGGUCGAGCCCCUGGGGUUGGUGGGGGGGCAUGAGAAACCCCAGGCAUCUCCUGCAGCCCCACCAAGCUAACCCUGCUGCUGCUGUCAGGAAGCAGAGGUCCUAGGCAGCUGAGAAAUUAGAGUGGGGUGGCGCUAUUUGAAUGUGAAUCACAUUAGCCGUGAUGGGAAAUACAAGCCGCCAAAUGUAGUUGCAAUUUUUAGGGAACCCCCUCCCUUGGGCUGGCACCCCGCUUCCACUCCCGAACCACCCACUGUUGCACCCCUCCACCACUACCCACAAACUGUCAACACACAGGAGAAGGCGGCCCUUUCCAUGACAAUGGCAUGAUAAUGAUGAGACAAAUGAAGAUUAAUGGGAUGUUUGGGUGUCAAUGAGGCACAUUGUCGGCAGACUGAUGGAGCACAGGGACUUCUGGGUCCUUGUUGGUUUGAUGGACAUAGUGGUAGAGGGAAGGAGAAAGGGAGGGAGGGAAUGACAUGGAGAGACGGGGAGUCUGCGUGUACUUAUGGCAUAGUUUGGGUGGGUCUGCUGUUGGUCUCUCAGCCACUAGUUGAGUCAAGUGUCUACUUUCUACUUAUCUACCUCCUUUAGCCAGCUUUUAGAAUGGGCUCUGCUGUGCAAAGGAAGCGCUCCAUUUGGUCUAUGUGGCAUUUGUUAGGAGAUUAAUUCAAUUACUGCAAAUCUCUUGUGAUGGCAUGGAAUUAUUGACAUCAACACUUGAUUUUUAUUUUCACCAAUAAAAAGUUACUUCAUU